GAUGAAGAACGUAGCGAAAUGCGAUACGUAAUGUGAAUUGCAGAAUUCAGUGAAUCAUCGAGUCUUUGAACGCACAUUGCGCCCCCUGGUAUUCCGGGGGGCAUGCCUGUCCGAGCGUCAUUGCUGCCCUCAAGCACGGCUUGUGUGUUGGGCCCCGCCCCCCGGCUCCCGGGGGGCGGGCCCGAAAGGCAGCGGCGGCACCGCGUCCGGUCCUCGAGCGUAUGGGGCUUCGUCACCCGCUCCGUAGGCCCGGCCGGCGCCCGCCGGCGACCCCCCUCAAUCUUUUCAGGUUGACCUCGGAUCAGGUAGGGAUACCCGCUGAACUUAAGCAUAUCAAUAAGCGGAGG
Molecule: unclassified non-coding RNA, 347 nt
Filed under: soil metagenome
Description: partial contains 5.8S ribosomal RNA, internal transcribed spacer 2, and large subunit ribosomal RNA
Rfam family: 5.8S ribosomal RNA (bases 1-120)
Source: RNAcentral